This 218-nucleotide long non-coding RNA is filed under the name Ictidomys tridecemlineatus (thirteen-lined ground squirrel). Its description in RNAcentral is "lncRNA (ENSSTOG00000030243.1)". Lineage: Eukaryota; Metazoa; Chordata; Mammalia; Rodentia; Sciuridae. The record is from RNAcentral.
CUGCAGCACCUCCUAGAGCCCUGGGCUGGAUCCUCUUGGCUGUGACAGUGGCCCUGGCUCUUCUGACAGGUCUUGGAUUUUGGUUUAGGAAACGCUGGACACACUGUGAAGCUCCCUGCAGUGCUGUCCCUUUGAAGUGAGGACCCAGCUACCCAGGUGCCCAGUCUACACCUGGACACCACGUGGUGAUGACAUCACUUCAACUGUCCUUGUGAAAC